RNAcentral lists this ribosomal RNA (362 nucleotides) under uncultured bacterium. RNAcentral describes it as "bacterial SSU rRNA". It matches the Rfam family "Bacterial small subunit ribosomal RNA", at positions 28 to 369 of the family's 1533-position model. The record is from RNAcentral.
GACGAACGCUGGCGGCGUGGAUAAGACAUGCAAGUCGGACGCUGAUUUCAGGGUAGCAAUAUUCUGGAGUCGGAGUGGCGCAAGGGUGCGUAACACGUGGGUAAUUUGCCGUGAAGCCUGGGAUAACUUGCUGAAAGGCGAGCUAAAUACCGGAUGUGAUUAUCGGGAGGCAUCUCCUGAACCUUAAAGUUGGGGACCGUAAGGCCUGACACUUCACGAUAAGCCCGCGGCCAUCAGCUAGUUGGUGAGGUAACGGCUCACCAAGGCUAAGACGGGUAGCUGGUCUGAGAGGACGACCAGCCACACUGGAACUGAGACACGGUCCAGACACCUACGGGUGGCAGCAGUCGAGAAUUUUUCAC